GUUAAACGGGCCAAGCAGGCGGGGUGGCCGGGAGCUAGGGGGAGCCUUGGAGCUGAAGGGUGGGGAAGGUCGGAGGUGCUGGAAGCGUCUGGUGUCCGGCUUGGGCUGUUCUCUGUUAAAGGAGUUACUAAAACACUGCUCACUGGGGCAGGGAUUUAGCUCAGUGGUUCUGGCGCGGUGCACACCGGUAGUUCCAGCACUUGGGAGGCUGAGGCAGGAGGAUUGCCAUGAGUUCAAAGCCAGCCUGAGCUAUACAGCGAAACCCUGUCUCAAAAUAAAAAAGUAUCCUUGCUGCCCUGCUACAGCUGUCAAGAGUCAGCCUGACCCUAGGCUGCGGAGGAAGGAAGGCGGGGCUGCCGCUCUGCCCUGCAGCUGUCCCGGAUGUCCCCACGGCAGGGGGUGGGGUGGGGCAGGACGGUGAUUUACCACGGUGAUGACUGUGCAGCCUGAUCGGCCCCUUAUCUCCCACACACUUCCUGCCCCCGGGCGGGCCCCUCCCCUGCACCCCUCCUGAGAGGGGUCACCAGUUGGAGGUGGGCCAGGCUGCUGCACAGUGACCCGUGAAGAGGUCAAUGGCAGCGGGGCACAGCGGUGCACACCGGUAGUUCCAGCACUCUGGGAGGCUGAGGCAGGAGGAUCACAAGUUCAACCCAGCCAGGGGAAUUUGGCAAAACCCUGUCUCCAACUAAAAAAUAAAAAGGGGGGAGAGAGGUAGCUCCAUGGGAAGGAUCUGGGUAGCGACACCUCGUUUUUGGGGACCUGCAGAGCUCCCCUCCCAUGGGGUUUUAUUUUCUCUGGCUCAGUUAUCACCAACUGAAAUAAAUGAUCUCAUUUGUGAAGAUUAAGAGCUUAAGGUCUAGAUCUGGAUGGCUCAGGUGAAAAUCCCCAGCUCUGCUACCUCCUGGAUGUGAAAACUGAGACAAAUAGCCUGACCCCCCCCCCGCCCCGCACUGGGACUCAGUUUCCCCAUCCACCAGAAAACCCACAGCCAGGCACACGGCUCUCUCUGACCUCCUGGUGGCCUUCACAAGAGUGUGGCUCCUACAGGAGGGCCAGGCGGGACACAGACACCAGUCACACUUCCAAGUGAACAGGAGAAGCUGGGUGUGGUGACACACACCUGUCAUCCCAGCACUCAGGAGGCUGAGAUGACAGGUGUGGGACUUGAACCCUCUUCCCGUGGCCACAGGGCUGUCAUGGGCACCCAGUCGGCCUCCAGAUGGGAGAGCCAGCUGGGGCCAGCCCCUCUGGAAGAGGACAGCGGGGCAGGGGCGGCCCCAGCUGGAGGCUGUGGCCUGAGGUUGUCUGGGCUGCCGGCCAGGCUGAGCAGUGAGUCACAGCCCAGGCAGGCGCGCAGAGCCCGGCCUCUCCCGCAGUGAGAUCAGCCCGGCAGCCACAUUCCUCCCUUGGGCAGCCCUGGUGGGCAGGGGGCGGGGGCAGGGCACAGACAUUCCCUCAUCUCUCCUCGGGAAACUGAGGCCAUGGCGCUGGGGGCAUGGCCAGUGGGGUCCUGCAGCAGGGAGGUGACCAGGGCCACCGCUGCCUGCUUCCUCUCCCUGGCACUCGGGUUUGCCAGGUGCAGGGACCCGUCUGUCCUCCUCCAGUGCCUGGCACCUCCGUCACAGGAGUGAGCUUCUGGCCCCAUCUUGGUGGGAACGGCCACCAAGGUGACAGCAGCAACUCAGCCCCUGGCCAUGGGCCCAAUGCCACGCUGGCCUCGCAUGAGGCUUUGUCUCCAGCACCGGCAAUGGCUGAGGCAUUUCCUGUGGACACAGGGAGGGGCGGGUGCCACUGGCAUCUGGGGGUGGAAGCCAGGGAGGGCGCCAAGUGUUCUAUGGUGUCCAGAGGAGGUCACAGGACAGGGGGUUGUCUGGCCCCGUGUCACUAGGGCUGGGACACGGGCUGCUCUGGCUCAAGACUUGCUCUUGGGAGGCCGAUGGGACAGAUGGGGGCCACAUAAAAGCGUCGGAUAGAGGGCUGGGGAUUUCGCUCAGUCGUUCCGCCUCCUGACUCGCAAGCAAGCGCAAGGACCUGAGUUCGAUCCCCGGUAACAAAAACAAAAGCAUCCUAUGGAAGCCGAGCGUGGUAGUGCUCACCUGUAAUCCCAGCACCGGGGAGGCUGAGGCAGGAGGUUCACCGAGUUGGAGGCCUCCCUAAGCUGCAUAGAGAGACCCUGAAAAAAGAACCCAGUGGUGGUGUAGGUCAGUCCGAGCGCUUGCCUGCCAUGUAGGAGGAGGCCCUGUGUUCCAUCCUCAGCACUAAAUAAAAACAAUCCAACAAAAAUCGAGAAUCUAUCACCCCA
RNAcentral lists this long non-coding RNA (2302 nucleotides) under Heterocephalus glaber (naked mole-rat). RNAcentral's name for it is "lncRNA (ENSHGLG00100040307.1)". The record is from RNAcentral. Lineage: Eukaryota; Metazoa; Chordata; Mammalia; Rodentia; Bathyergidae.